GAAAAAAAACUUUUUACAGAACUCUCGGCAAGGAUACAUAAGUGUAUGACUGGGCCAGACUGGAAUUGUACCUCAUACGAUUUCAUGUGACAAAUUAAAUUGAUUGAAAAGAAAAGGAAGAUUAAAUAGCUGUUAAAACAGUGAGGCUUUUGCAAGAUAUCUCCACCUGUCUGUUUGUCGUCAAGAAGAAAUCAUCUUUCAUCCAACAUGAAGUAUCUUGUCCUGGGGCUGUUUUUCCUGACUCUGCUGAGAUUCAUCUGUGCACAGACUUCACCAUCAAGUAGUACCACCACAGAGAUGCCAUACAAUAACACCUCCAAUACAACCUGGCCAUCCAAUUAUACCACCACUGACAACAACAACAAUCCCACUGGUUCCAGACCCACUGGAUCCAAACCCACAGGAUCCAACCCCACAAGCUCCAACCCCACAGUAUCCAAGCCCACAGGCUCCAACCCAACAGUAUCCAACCUCACAGGCUCCAACCCCACAGGCUCCAACCCCACAGGAUCCAACCCCACAGGAUCCAACCCCACAGGCUCCAACCCCACAGACUCUAACCCCACAGGAUCCAACCCCACAGGCUCCAACCCCACAGGAUCCAACCCCAUCAGUAGCCAGACCCCCACGAUGGUGACCAAAUCCACAUUGAUGACGACCAAAGUGAGCAUGACUACAAAGAAUGGACAGAGCCACAUCUUCACCUCUGUCAGUCUGCUGUUUGGAUCACUUGUUCUUCGAGCACUUUGGUAAUAGAGGACAUACAUGAGUUGUAUGUGUUAAACUAAAUUGUGGUUUAUUAAAUUAGGAAACGAUUAGCGAGAGACCCAGUGACAGAGCCAGCUAUUAAUUAACAUUCAGAUAACAACUUUGACAGAUUCUCAAUCAGAUUCUUUGAAGGAUGAAGCCGAUGCCUAUGAAUCCUAAUGAGUUAAAGCAUGUUUGUUUGCAUUUUAAGAGAUUACUGCUGCCUGAUCUGUAUUGGAGUUUAGCAUAUCCUAAGUCAAAUUUACCCUUUGUGCAUACUGUAGGCUUAUUAUUUGUCCUGCGUGAAUAUAUUUUUAUUUAAUCAAAUUGAAAUACUUAUUUUUUUUUUGUCUGACCCCCUCGAAAACGAG
This is an RNA transcript of Sander lucioperca (pikeperch), 1118 nucleotides long. It is a transcript of the gene named salivary glue protein Sgs-3-like, with no coding region annotated. The record is from RefSeq and is a predicted model, not a curated record. NCBI's taxonomy places the organism in Eukaryota, Metazoa, Chordata, Actinopteri, Perciformes, Percidae. The transcript is spliced from 3 exons.